AGAGUUUGAUUCUGGCUCAGAACGAACGCUGGCAGCGUGGAUAAGGCAUGCAAGUCGAACGAGAAGCCGUGUGUUCAAUUCUUCGGGAGAGAACAUGCGGUGGAGAGUGGCGGAAGGGUGAGUAACGCGUGGGCAAUCUACCUCGAAGUUGGGGAUACCCCUUCGAAAGGAGAGCUAAUACCGAAUGUGGUCCCCCAGCGCAUGUUGGGGAGACUGAAGGCGGGGAUCUUUCGGGACCUGCCGCUUUGAGAGGAGCCCGCGUACCAUCAGCUUGUUGGUAGGGUAACGGCCUACCAAGGCUUACGGUUAGCCGGCCUGAGAGGGUGAUCGGCCACACUGGGACUGAGACACUGCCCAGACUCCUACGGGAGGCUGCAGUCGAGAAUCAUUCGCAAUGCGCGAAAGCGUGACGAUGCGACGCUGCGUGGAGGAUGACGGCCUUCGGGUUGUAAACUCCUGUCAUGCGGGAAAAACUAAGCGACCAAGAAUAUGGGUCGCUCUUGAUGGUACCGCAAGAGGAAGCCACGGCUAACUCUGUGCCAGCAGCCGCGGUAAUACAGAGGUGGCGAGCGUUGUUCGGAUUUACUGGGCGUAAAGCGUGCGUAGGCGGUCUCGUGUGUCGGAUGUGAAAUCCCACUGCUCAGCGGCGGAAUUGCAUUCGAAACUGCGGAACUUGAGUACAGGAGAGGAGAGCGGAAUUCUUGGUGUAGCGGUGAAAUGCGUUGAUAUCAAGAAGAACACCAGUGGCGAAGGCGGCUCUCUGGAAUGUUGCUGACGCUCAGGCACGAAAGCUGGGGGAACAAACAGGAUUAGAUACCCUGGUAGUCCCAGCCGUAAACGGUGCGCACUUGGUGUUGGAGGUAUUGACCCCUCCAGUGCCGGAGCUAACGCGUUAAGUGCGCCCCUGGGGAGUACGGCCGCAAGGCUAAAACUCAAAGAAAUUGACGGGGGCCCGCACAAGCGGAGGAGCAUGUGGCUUAAUUCGAUGCAACGCGAAGAACCUUACCAGGGCUUGACAUGUAACUGCACGUCUUGUGAAAGCAAGAUUCCUUCAGGGUGUUACACAGGUGCUGCAUGGCUGUCGUCAGUUCGUGCCGUGAGGUGUUGGGUUAAGUCCCGCAACGAACGCAACCCCUAUGGUUAGUUGCCACCGUCGGUGAUGAGCCGGCGAGCACUUUAGCCAGACUGCCCGUACAAGCGGGAGGAAGGUGGGGACGACGUCAAGUCAGUAUGGCCCUUACGCCCUGGGCUGCACACGUGCUACAAUGGUCGGUACAGAGGGAUGCAAUACCGCGAGGUGGAGCAAAUCCCCAAAGCUGGCCUCAGUUCGGAUUGGAGUCUGCAACUCGACUCCAUGGAGU
This 1361-nucleotide ribosomal RNA is filed under the name metagenome. Its description in RNAcentral is "bacterial SSU rRNA". It matches the Rfam family "Bacterial small subunit ribosomal RNA", at positions 8 to 1326 of the family's 1533-position model. The record is from RNAcentral.